This 260-nucleotide unclassified non-coding RNA is filed under the name uncultured Acholeplasma sp. Its description in RNAcentral is "partial contains 16S ribosomal RNA, 16S-23S ribosomal RNA intergenic spacer, and 23S ribosomal RNA". It matches the Rfam family "Bacterial large subunit ribosomal RNA", at positions 374 to 639 of the family's 2925-position model. Lineage: Bacteria; Bacillati; Mycoplasmatota; Mollicutes; Acholeplasmatales; Acholeplasmataceae. The record is from RNAcentral.
CCUCCACGACUACCGCAAGGAGGCAGCGCCGAGGUAGGGUCAGCGGAUUGGGUGAAGUCGGAAUCCGGGAGGACCAUCUCCAAAGGCUAAAUACUCCUUGACUAACGAUAGUGAACCAGUACGUAGAGGAAAGGUAGAAACGCGAACCCGGAGGGAGUAGAAAUAGAUCCUAGAAACCAUGCGUCUUAACAAGUAGUCAGACGUCCCGUUAAUGGGUGAUGGCGUGCCUUUGUAGAAUGAACCGGCAGUCGACGCGGCCG